Molecule: ribosomal RNA, 445 nt
Filed under: uncultured bacterium
Lineage: Bacteria
Description: partial 16S ribosomal RNA
Rfam family: Bacterial small subunit ribosomal RNA
Source: RNAcentral
GUGAGGAAUAUUGGUCAAUGGACGGAAGUCUGAACCAGCCAUGCCGCGUGAAGGAUGAAGGCGUUCUGCGUUGUAAACUUCUUUUAUCAGAGAAGAAACCACUGAUUUCUAUUAGUGUUGACGGUAUCUGAUGAAUAAGCACCGGCUAACUCCGUGCCAGCAGCCGCGGUAAUACGGAGGGUGCAAGCGUUAUCCGGAUUUACUGGGUUUAAAGGGUGUGUAGGCGGGCUUGUAAGUCAGGGGUGAAAUCCUACAGCUUAACUGUAGAACUGCCUUUGAUACUAUAGGUCUUGAAUAUUGUUGAGGUGGGCGGAAUACAUCAUGUAGCGGUGAAAUGCUUAGAUAUGAUGUAGAACACCGAUUGCGAAGGCAGCUCACUAAGCAAAUAUUGACGCUGAGGCACGAAAGCGUGGGGAUCAAACAGGAUUAGAUACCCGUGUAGUCC